Non-coding RNA from Megalopta genalis, 1594 nucleotides. The record is from RefSeq and is a predicted model, not a curated record. NCBI's taxonomy places the organism in Eukaryota, Metazoa, Arthropoda, Insecta, Hymenoptera, Halictidae.
GUUACCUAUUUACAAGGAAAACUACUCUUCCCUAUCGAAACCAAGCCCCACCUUGGAUUCACCAAAACUACACUAUAAGAGGCCCCGAACGACUAGAAUAAACGCUCAUAACCGUUUCGACCUCGAUAUAGGUGCAGCUUCUUUCUAAACCCCAUCAAGAGCCAGUAGUGUAGUGCAUUAUUUUAAGUCUAAGGACGUGAAUAGUCAUGCAACACCUAUCUCGUUGGCGAUUCCGAUCAGAAGUCCCCGUGACACCGGCACCGUCCAAAUGUGUUCACACUGGCAGGCAAUCCCGGUCCAGGCUUGCUUCUCCCGCUGUAUCAAAACAAAGCGAGACGGAACUAUGGAACUGGUACGAUGUGGUCAGAGUGCGCAAUCUUUCGUUCUAGCGUCGUCGACAACUAUCACACAAUGCAAAGAAUAAAAAGCUCACAAUUGCGUUGACCUUUUCUACAUUCGGAAAAGUACAAAGGCGAACGUCGAAUCUCGGUCUAAGACACUCGAGUGCCGAGGUUCAUUUAGUAUUUCAUCGGUCCUGCCUGUGGCACGAUGCUCGCGCGGCUAAUGUGAACACUGUUAGCCUAGCACGAUGCAAGCACGACCCUGGCAUAUAAGUGUGUUUCGACCCUUCAGGUGGCCGAGUUUCAGCAUCUGUUUCUUUGGUUUGAGUGGCGUUUACAUGCUACGGAUUAAAUACCUGUUCCACGAAGAUGAAGUAAGUCUGAAACAAAGUGGUAUGUAUCACCGAUCUGGACGAAGUUCGAUAAAACGAAAAUUUCUACGUAAUUAUAUUACAGAGUUUUACAUAUUUUUGUACAUUUGUAAGCAUUACUCAUAUGUAAUCUAUGCAAUCAUUUUUUUUUAUAUGUAGCUGUUUCAAAAAAUGGAUUUCGUUAAAGCAAUUAUGUAUACCGAAAAUUGUUCCAAAGAAUUACAUUCGAAUCUCAUUCUCUUCAAAGCAUUGCCCAGUUAAAGCAGCAAGCUAUCGUGUGACGUAAUCACGCGGACGCGUGAAAUUAGAUGCUGAAUAUUUAAGCAGCGAAUUACACGUGGAUGAUUAUUCUUUGAUAUUCCACAUGACCGAAGAACUGGUUCUGUCAAGUGCAAUUUGUACGUCGCCGCGCCAAAGGCACUUCUAAGCAGUUCGGGGGAAGCGUUUACAUUGUCCGGAGACCAUUUUUGUUUCGCGAAUCGAUUUUAUAGAUUGUUUGGCAGGAGUGCGAAGCGUCCACAUUGAAAUCACGAAAAAUGUCUCGUCGAAAAUGUUUCUGUUUCGUUCGCUAGCGUGCCAAGCACACUCGUGCAUGAUGUUUGCGCGCAUGGACACACGAUUAUGAAAUGGUGAUCGUUCUUUUUCCAAAAUGCGGGAAGCUGUAAUUGCUUUCUCACUGUGUAAUUUCGUUCCAUCCGAUUGCGACGAAGUAUGCGUUGAUUGCUCGAACGAAAAAGCAACGACUUGGAAUUAAAUGUCGCAGGGAUGGUACGCGCACAAGAAAUUCACAAUCUGCAGCACAUUUUCAUCAAUAUCUGCGAAUACGAAGCGAAGGAAGCGAUUUCAUGUAAGUUGUUUAAUAAACAUAUAAAUUAUACAGUC